Notolabrus celidotus (New Zealand spotty) is the source of this 1647-nucleotide long non-coding RNA. RefSeq lists it as uncharacterized. The transcript has 9 exons. NCBI's taxonomy places the organism in Eukaryota, Metazoa, Chordata, Actinopteri, Labriformes, Labridae. The record is from RefSeq and is a predicted model, not a curated record.
UCGGUCAGGCUCUCUGGUCCGCCCGAGCACGACUCUUUGAUAGAUGCUACCUGUGACAAAUUGACAACAUAUACACGAAGUUUCAACGCUUUUCUCGACGUAAUCUUGCUUAAUUCCUUUCAAGGCAUGUCACAAGGCAACAUAUUUUUAGUUUCCAUUGGUUAAUUGAUGAAAAUUAUAAUUCAUUAAUUUGUGUCUUGGCUAAUAAGUCUAGUCAAAGGUUAUUUUAUCAGCUGGCCCGUUAACCAUGAAAAUCAUCACUGAAUGAUCUUAAUUUGACAUAAAAUGAACCUACAGUGAUCAAAGAUGAUCACAUCUGCAGGAAUAAGCUGUGAAACAAUUUUUUCGGUUAUAGCAAAUUGACGUCAAAAUACUCCUGAAACGUAAAAAGGCGACCCAGAUUAAUCCGCCUGAAAACAUGGGGAUCCUCUCUGUGCCUACUGUGUAGGUGACAUCCCAUACAUUGAAACAACAGAGGAAAACUCUAGCUGCUGCUCGUCCAGUACACUUCAGAGAAGUAUACUACACUGCUCAUAGAAGAGCUCCAACAUCUUGCUGCACAUGUCAAAGGAUCUCAGUUUCCUCUUCUGUAAGGAAAGGAACACAGUGUGAUGUCGGGGAUAUUGGCUCGCAGACCGAGAUUUAACUCCAGGACAUGGUUCAAAAACAUCUUGAACUUCAACUAGAGAGGAUGUUACUGUCAGGACUGCUCUGGUAGCUGUGGCAGCAGGAUGAAUUUUCAGCCGGGGUGGGGGGUGCCAUAUGGGAGCUCAGAAAAAUGGAAGUGGAUCGGAGAUAGACAUGAGAGGAAUCUGUCAUUCUUGGGCUCGGAUAUCGGGAUCUUUGUGAGAGGCGAACUAAAAACUGACCCAAGCUGCAAAACCCCCCGAGCGAGACACUUCCUAUGAAGGGAGCCCUGGCAGUCAAACAUCUUUCACCGUGCUUAAAGCGAUGAUGAGGAAGAGGAAGAAGAAAGAAAGGUGGGGAGGGGAUUGAAGUGAAGUGGAGGAGGCGUUUCCUGCAAGCAGAGUCAAGCAACCUUCCCUCAUACCCCCUCCUCUCCCUCGCCUCUGCUCCUCAUCAGUAUGCAGUGUCGGUCGCUCAGGUGACACAGCCGCUGGAUUCGGUCCCGACUGCAGGAACAUCAGCAGCGUGGUGGAGCGCGGGAUCGCAGGUAAGGACAAUGAGAACAGGCGGGAGAAAAUGAGGAGAGACAGGGAGAGAGGGAGGGAGGGAGGGAGGAGGAGAGACAGGGGAGGGACUAUUUUUAAGAACCUAACACCCCCACACAUACGAACACUUGUGCACUUUGUACUGCUGUAAUCCUGCACACAUAUUCUCAGGGUUCAAGCUCAAACUCUAAUCUGCAUUAAAAAUGUUAAACGUGUUUUUACUUCAAUACAAAAAGCAACUAUCUCUAUCUGCUGAGUUAAACUAGUGAAGGUCCGUCAGGAAUGAGUCUGUGGGAUCAUACAGUUUGUACAUGAAAGAACAUUUUUGCAAUUUGUGCAGCGUUUGAAAAAAACAUUAAUUUUUAUUUCUUGUUUUUAAAUCAACAGAAAGUUUGAUUGUAAUUAAAAAUGUUUGAUGUAGACGAGACUAUUUCUGCUUUUCUCUUGCAUUUUCAAUAAAGACAAUAAAAGCUGA